This 500-nucleotide ribosomal RNA is filed under the name uncultured bacterium. Its description in RNAcentral is "partial 16S ribosomal RNA". It matches the Rfam family "Bacterial small subunit ribosomal RNA", at positions 30 to 523 of the family's 1533-position model. The record is from RNAcentral.
AUUGAACGCUGGCGGAAUGCUUUACACAUGCAAGUCGAACGGCAGCACGGACUUCGGUCUGAUGGCGAGUGGCGAACGGGUGAGUAAUGUAUCGGAACGUGCCCAGUCGUGGGGGAUAACGUAGUGAAAAUUACGCUAAUACCGCACACGAUCUAUGGAUGAAAGCGGGGGAUCCCAAGAUCUCGCGCGAUUGGAGCGGCGGAUAUGAGAUUAGGUAGUUGGUGGGGUAAAGGCCCACCAAGCCAACGAUCUGUAGCUGGUCUGAGAGGACGACCAGACACACGGGAACUGAGACACGGUCCAGACUCCUACGGGAGGCAGCAGUGGGGAAUUUUGGACAAUGGGCGAAAGCCUGAUCCAGCCAUUCCGCGUGCAGGAUGAAGGCCCUCGGGUUGUAAACUGCUUUUGUACAGAACGAAAAGGUUUCUACUAAUACUAGGAGCUCAUGACGGUACUGUAAGAAUAAGCACCGGCUAACUACGUGCCAGCAGCCGCAGUAA